CCUACGGGAGGCAGCAGUGGGGAAUAUUGCACAAUGGGGGAAACCCUGAUGCAGCGACGCCGCGUGAGUGAAGAAGUACUUCGGUAUGUAAAGCUCUAUCAGCAGGGAAGAAAAUGACGGUACCUGAGUAAGAAGCCCCGGAUAACUACGGGCCAGCAGCCGCGGUAAUACGUAGGGGGCCAGGGUUAUCCGGAUUUACUGGGUGGAAAGGGAGCGUAGACGGGAGUGCAAGUCUGGAGUGAAAGUCGGGGGCUCAACCCCCGGAUUGCACUGGAAACUGUACGGCUGGAGUGCAGGAGAGGUAAGUGGAAUUCCUAGUGUAGCGGUGAAAUGCGUAGAUAUUAGGAGGAACACCAGUGGCGAAGGCGGCUUACUGGACUGUAACUGACGUUGAGGCUCGAAAGCGUGGGGAGCAAACAGGAUUAGAUACCCUUGUAGUC
RNAcentral lists this ribosomal RNA (440 nucleotides) under uncultured bacterium. RNAcentral's name for it is "partial 16S ribosomal RNA". It matches the Rfam family "Bacterial small subunit ribosomal RNA", at positions 338 to 795 of the family's 1533-position model. The record is from RNAcentral.